GGGCCAUUAGCUCAGGUGGUAGAGCACCGGACUUUUAAUCCGGGUGUCCCGGGUUCGAGUCCCGGAUGGCUCACCA
This 76-nucleotide transfer RNA is filed under the name Bacillota bacterium. Its description in RNAcentral is "Firmicutes bacterium (anaerobic digester metagenome) tRNA-Lys". It matches the Rfam family "tRNA". Rfam says of the family: Transfer RNA (tRNA) molecules are approximately 80 nucleotides in length. Their secondary structure includes four short double-helical elements and three loops (D, anti-codon, and T loops). Lineage: Bacteria; Bacillati; Bacillota. The record is from RNAcentral.